This 253-nucleotide ribosomal RNA is filed under the name uncultured bacterium. RNAcentral describes it as "partial 16S ribosomal RNA". It matches the Rfam family "Bacterial small subunit ribosomal RNA", at positions 524 to 776 of the family's 1533-position model. The record is from RNAcentral.
UACAGAGGGUGCAAGCGUUAAUCGGAAUUACUGGGCGUAAAGCGUGCGUAGCCGGUCAUGUAAGUCGGGUGUGAAAGCCCCGGGCUCAACCUGGGAAUUGCAUUCGAGACCGCAUGGCUAGGAUGCGGAAGAGGGAAGCGGAAUUUCCGGUGUAGCGGUGAAAUGCGUAGAUAUCGGAAGGAACACCAGUGGCGAAAGCGGCUUCCUGGUCCAGCAUCGACGUUCAGGCACGAAAGCGUGGGGAGCAAACAGG